GAUAAACGCUGGCGGCGUGCCUUAUGCAUGCAAGUCGAACGGUCCUUCCCGCAAGGGAAGGAUAGUGGCGAACGGGUGAGUAACGCGUAAGUAACCUGCCCCCAAGUAGGGAAUAACUCUGAGAAAUUAGAGCUAAUACCAUAGUGGUCCUUCACUGUAAAGGGAAGGACUAAAGCUUUAGGGCGCUUAGGGAGGGGCUUGCGUCCGAUUAGCUAGUUGGUAGGGUAAUGGUCUACCAAGGCGAUGAUCGGUAGCUGGUUUGAGAGGACAUCCAGCCACACUGGGAUUGAGAUACGGCCCAGACUCCUACGGGAGGCAGCAGCAAGGAAUUUUGUGCAAUGGGCGAAAGCCUGACACAGCGACGCCGUGUGGGGGAUGAAGGCCUUCGGGUUGUAAACCCCUUUUCUCAGGGAAGAAUAAUGACGGUACCUGAGGAAUAAGUCGUGGCUAACUACGUGCCAGCAGCCGCGGUAACACGUAGGCGGCAAGCGUUAUCCGGAUUUAUUGGGCGUAAAGAGGGCGUAGGCGGUUUUUCAAGUCGAUUGUAAGAUCUCCCGGCUUAACUGGGAGGGGCCAGUCGAUACUGUUAGACUAGAGGGCAGCAGGGGGAGGUGGAAUUCCCGGUGUAGUGGUGAAAUGUGUAGAUAUCGGGAGGAACACCAGUGGCGAAGGCGGCCUCCUAGGCUGUUUCUAACGCUGAGGCCCGAAAGCGUGGUGAGCAAACAGGAUCAGAUACCCUGGUAGUCCACGCUGUAAUCGAUGGACACUAGGUAUAGGGAGUAUCGACCCUCUCUGUGCCGAAGCUAACGCAUUAAGUGUCCCGCCUGGGGAGACGGCCGCAAGGCU
This 846-nucleotide ribosomal RNA is filed under the name uncultured Chloroflexota bacterium. RNAcentral's name for it is "bacterial SSU rRNA". It matches the Rfam family "Bacterial small subunit ribosomal RNA", at positions 28 to 895 of the family's 1533-position model. Lineage: Bacteria; Bacillati; Chloroflexota. The record is from RNAcentral.